ACUAACAAACAUGUAUUAAUGUGUAGUUAAGGUGGCUGUAAUUCAUGCAUGAAUUCAUAUGACUCAUGACAUAGUUAUGGUUAGUUAUUGAUUAGUACAUGGCUUAACUUAUCAUUACUUCAUAUUAAAGUAAUUAUUAAUUUAUGUAUUAGUACAUGAUUAUUCAUGUACUGUUAUUGUAAAGUGUUACCGAACAGUCUACUGUAGCAAACUUUGAACAAAGUCAAACAAAAAAAGAGAAAAAAUUAUAAAUGCUGAAUGUGUCUCAUCUUAAAUACAUUGUUGUUGUUUUUUUCAUUGAAUUUGGAUGUUUUGAUGAUUUAAGGAAAAUUUACGUAGCAUAUAUUGAUGUUUUAAAUCAGAGUUUGUUAAUGACACUUAAUCAUUAACAAACAUUUAAAAAGGUUUAUUACAAUACUAAUUGAUAAUAUUAAUGUACUAAUCUUGUUUUGUUACACCCUAAAUCAUUAGCUACCCCAGUUACAGGCAUGAGUGUUUGACUUCAUGCAGACAUCGAAGUACUGCGAGAGCGGUUCAAAAGCCCAGGAAACAGUGUAAUCACGCGGUACUGUGAUGUCAUACUGGUUAACGAUAAGCCACGUGAAGUUGGACACAAGGGCUGCACUAAUCUUAGCCUGUGGUUUUUGAGGCUUCGUGUCUCUUCGCGUUAAACGAUCGCAGAACGAUUUAUUUAUCUUUUUCACCUCGAUCUUUGGCCUCUUGUGAUUUACCAAAACCAACAUUUGAAGUAACAACGCUGACGAAGGAGUUUCAUCAGUAGAGUGUGUCCUGGUAAACGUGUGCUCGGAAACAUGCAGAUCUACAGAGCCGACCUUGAGGCUAGUUUUUGCAUGACAUCCACUGAUGGAUAAUCUGUUUACCUAAAAACAGCUCACCACAAUCCAUGUUUACCAGCUGUGAAAGUGCAGGCCAAAAAUCUUCCUUCACCUGUGGGCCUCUUCCCACAUGUAGAUAAGCACUUCAGGAGAAACCUGCCUGUGAUCUGCUAAGAUGCACAGAUUCAACUCUGGCCCAUUGUCAUCCCAACACCUCAUCUGCCAUCAGUUUCGUUUAGUGUCGGUCUAUUGCAAAAGUUCUUAUAAACUUUAAAUGAGACUUUGUGUUAAGCAGGGGUUUCCAAACCUUUCAUUCCAAAACAUAUUAAGCCCAGGACACACGGCAGGAUUUUUGCAAUCCAAUAAGACCUUAUCACAUUAAACUUUAGCAGUAGACUGUCGACGAAGACACCUAUUGCAUCUGAGGCUACAACAUCCGUCAUCAGCAUGCGCUAGUGGUAAACAAAUACAGGUACGCAGGUCGUUAGCACACACGUUGUUGAUGUGCGUUGAUCAUGCUGAACUUCUUACACUGUCAUAAAACUAUCUUUGGUGUCUUUGGUCCCAGGACUGGGAAAACAGACGUCUUUAAACCUCUCACACUGUACGAGAUAGGACCACCAAUUAAGAGCCACGAUCACAGAAAUCUUCACGAUUGGUAAUCUUUCAUCUGGGACAGCCAAAAAUCGUGCCGUGUAUUACAGGCUUUUGACAGGUGUAAUCUUAUAGUAUAUCAAACCAUUGCUAAUAAUUAAUUGGACAAAGCAUCACUACAAUGCAACACUCACUAUCUUACGGUGCGACCCACAAGUGGGUCUUCACCCACAGUUUAAAAACACUGAGUAUGAGUAAGAGUAUGUUGUAUUGUAAUUAAAGUCAAAUCUAAGUGUUAUGGAACAGUUUGUCAUUAUAUUCACAGUAUUACAUGGUUCUUUCAGCAGUUACUACGUUACAGUGCUCUUAAAGUGUCCUGGGUCUUGUGAAGUAAUGUAAUGAGAAUGUGAUCAAUAACUUUGCAGUAUUUUGUUACACUGUGGCUGUAAUCGUAUUAACACAUAGGUUAAACAUUUUAUUCAAAUUUGGUAAACAAACUAGUCAAUAUAAUUCAUGGUGUGAUGCUGGAUUAAACCUGGUCAAAUGAA
Misgurnus anguillicaudatus (oriental weatherfish) is the source of this 1978-nucleotide long non-coding RNA. RefSeq lists it as uncharacterized. The record is from RefSeq and is a predicted model, not a curated record. Lineage: Eukaryota; Metazoa; Chordata; Actinopteri; Cypriniformes; Cobitidae.